CUACGGGCGGCUGCAGUGGGGAAUAUUGCACAAUGGAGGAAACUCUGAUGCAGCAACGCCGCGUGGAGGAUGACACUUUUCGGAGCGUAAACUCCUUUUAUAUAGGAAGAAGAUGACGGUACUAUAUGAAUAAGCGCCGGCUAACUCCGUGCCAGCAGCCGCGGUAAUACGGAGGGCGCAAGCGUUACUCGGAGUCACUGGGCGUAAAGAGCGUGUAGGCGGAUUAAAAAGUCAGAAGUGAAAUCCUAUAGCUUAACUAUAGAACUGCUUCUGAAACUCUUAAUCUAGAAUAUGGGAGAGGUAGAUGGAAUUUCUGGUGUAGGGGUAAAAUCCGUAGAGAUCAGAAGGAAUACCGAUUGCGAAGGCGAUCUACUAGAACAUUAUUGACGCUGAGACGCGAAAGCGUGGGGGGCAAACAGGAUUAGAUACCCGAGUAGUC
RNAcentral lists this ribosomal RNA (439 nucleotides) under uncultured bacterium. RNAcentral describes it as "partial 16S ribosomal RNA". It matches the Rfam family "Bacterial small subunit ribosomal RNA", at positions 339 to 795 of the family's 1533-position model. The record is from RNAcentral.